This 29-nucleotide non-coding RNA is filed under the name Homo sapiens (human). Lineage: Eukaryota; Metazoa; Chordata; Mammalia; Primates; Hominidae. The record is from RNAcentral.
UGGAGCUGAAUACAGUGAUCACGUUGUCC